GGAGCUGCGCAGGGCUGGACUCACCGCCAACCCCCGAAAAUGCCAUCUGGGCCUGUCUGAGGCGAACUAUCUGGGUUUCCAGGUGGGAAGAGGAGUCAUCAGACCCCAGGAAAAGAAGGUUGAGGCAGUCCGCGCCGCCCCAAGACCCAGUACAAAGUCCCAGCCUCCCCUCUGACAGACCUAACCAGGAAGGGUCAGCCAGAGAAAAUCAACUGGACGCCCGAAGCUGAGGAGGCAUUGAGAAAAAUAAAGAUGGCAUUGACGGCAGAGCCGGUCCUAAGAGCGCCAGAUUUUGGCUGUCCUUUCCUGCUGCAAACAGAUGCGUCCGAUACAGGACUGGGAGCCGUCCUGUCCCAGAUUCAGGAAGAUGAGGAGCAUCCUGUCUUGUACCUCAGCCGGAAGCUGACCCCGGCCGAAAAAAACUACGCCGCGGUGGAGAAGGAAGCUCUGGCCAUCAAGUGGGCAGUUCUGGAAUUACGGUAUUACCUCCUAGGCAGGCGAUUCACUCUCUUUACAGACCAUGCGCCCCUCCAGUGGAUGGCCCGCGCCAAGGACACGAACGCCAGGGUGACACGGUG
Molecule: long non-coding RNA, 578 nt
Organism: Gasterosteus aculeatus aculeatus (three-spined stickleback)
Lineage: Eukaryota; Metazoa; Chordata; Actinopteri; Perciformes; Gasterosteidae
Source: Ensembl